UGGCCUGGGAACGCCUCGGGAUCCCCCCGUCAGAGCUGGUCAAUGUGGCCCGGGAAAGGGAAGUCUGGGGCCCCCUGCUUGAGCUGCUCCCCCCGCGACCCGACCCCGGAUAAGCGGACGAAAAUUAGAUGAGAUGAGAUUUUAGACAACUACAAAGAUGCCUGUAGGCUAAUGGAGAAGUACCAGACGGGCUGCAACACCUCUGAUCUUCAGUCUGAGGCAGAGCAGGACUGUGGGCCGCAAUAUAAACGACAAAGGAAGGCAGUGCAUCACUUUGGGGACUCUGAGAGAUGGUGGCCAAUUGCACUGGCAGACUCCAACAUCUCCCCGAGGGCCAGGCAGCAGCAGCUGAGUCUCUUCUCGACUUGAGGAAAACUGUCUAGCACCUCACCAUGGGGCAGGACCGCAACAACCGUUGCCAAAACAACUCCCUGCAUUUAACAUGCGGAGAGUUACUCAAGGAACGGCAGUCCCUCCUCUUCUCCCUCCACCCCCGACAUCAACCCUGAGCCUGCGGCCAACAGAGGAGCCUUCUUCAAUCCCCGCCAUCGGACCAACAUGGCGAGGGGGAAGAAUGAAUGAGUCCAUUCCCUGCUCUGCGGCUGAAGUCCACAUCCUGAACCUGCUGGAGACAAUUAAACAGCAACAAGACCAGCUCGUGGCAAAGGUCAACUACCUCUGCAGCAGGAUGAACAGCACCCCGGGGCCAGACGUUGAGAUGCCUGACAGUAUUAAUCUCCCCUUGGAACACCUGGAGGCAGUGGAGGCAUUUGAGGUGUUUUUAAAAGAACCCUCAAACUACCCAGCUCGACAAAGAGUAAUUGCUUCUUUGGCCACAAUUGGAGGCCAGGAUUUGAAGAGGGUGACUUGGAACAUUCUUGGCCGGCUAUACACAGACGACGUGUCCCACCAAAUCAACUGGAAAGUUACAGCCUCCUGAGUGGUGAUUGCGGACACCUGCAUGAAGCUGUGGGUGCAGCCUAUAUAAGUGGAUCCUCCCUCCGGCUCUCUCUCUCUACUUCCUGACAGGAUCCCAGCUUUUUUUUAUGUUGUACAUCUUCCUGGUUGUAAAUAAACACCUUUUUUGCAUCAUACUCAGUAUGGUGUCCGUUUAUGUGUUGUGACCUUGAGCCGGUCGUAACAUAAUGGGGGCUCGUCCAAAGUUUAGUGUAGGUGAGUUUGACCAACGUUUUUCAUUUUGUUUGUUUGUUAGGAGGUCCAUGCUUCUGUUGCCACAUG
Gadus morhua (Atlantic cod) is the source of this 1239-nucleotide long non-coding RNA. RefSeq lists it as uncharacterized. The transcript is spliced from 8 exons. Lineage: Eukaryota; Metazoa; Chordata; Actinopteri; Gadiformes; Gadidae. The record is from RefSeq and is a predicted model, not a curated record.